CCGUUAGUAGCCAAGUUGUUACAGUGGCUGCUUGAUACGUGGUAGAUGGGCGUUCGAUCCCCCGCCGAAGGGG
This is a non-coding RNA of Acanthoscelides obtectus, 73 nucleotides long. Lineage: Eukaryota; Metazoa; Arthropoda; Insecta; Coleoptera; Chrysomelidae. The record is from the annotation of a GenBank genome assembly.